Molecule: ribosomal RNA, 2688 nt
Filed under: Juglans microcarpa
Lineage: Eukaryota; Viridiplantae; Streptophyta; Magnoliopsida; Fagales; Juglandaceae
Description: eukaryotic LSU rRNA
Rfam family: Eukaryotic large subunit ribosomal RNA
Source: RNAcentral
UCUCAAACUUUAAAUAGGUAGGAUGGCACGGCUGCUUUGUUAAGUCGUGCCAAGGAAGCAAGAACUCCGAGUGGGCCAUUUUUGGUAAGCAAAACUGGCGAUGCGGGAUGAACCCGAAGCCGGAUUACGGUGCUCAACUGUGCGCUAACCUAGAACCCACAAAGGGUGUUGGUCGAUUAAGACAACAACAUAGUGGUCAGGGAAGUCGAAAUUCAUUAAGGAGUGUGUAACAACUCACCUGCCGAAUCAACUAGCCUCGAAAAUGGAUGGAGCUGAAGCGCGGGACCUAUACCCGGCCGCUUGGAGGGCGCAGCAUUGGCUGCAAAACCUAGGGCGCUAGCCGAGGCGGAGUGGCUGUCAGUGCAGAUCUUGUUGGUAGUAGCAAAUAUUCAACUAAGAACUUUGAAGGCUGAAGAGGGGAAAUGAUAUGAACCCGCGGGAUUGAAAUCCCUUGAACCCACAAUCAAUUUGAAAACUCUCCAAGAAAGCCAAAAUCAAGUCANUUCAAUAUUGUCUAAGCUUCAAAUGAGGCUACAAGGAGUAUUUAAACUAAACCUAAUUAAAACCCUAGCCAAAAUAAAGCCCCCUUUACCCAAAAUGCCCCUGAUGAACAUUGUCGCAGCUAGUAUGACUACAGUAAUGCUACAGUAACCUCUUGAAACCCUAGUUCCUAAAAAGUAACUUUCCAAAUAAGCCAUUGGCCAAAAUACAAGGCCUUCCAGAAAAUCCUAGUUCAUUAAAAAUAAGACGUGUGGGCCAAGCAUCUUCAAGCCUACUUAUUCUAAACUAAUAAAAUAAAUCAUUUAACUGAAUUGGAAGCCUCUAAUAACAAUAGGCCCUAUCUCUAAGUCAUGUCCUCCACAUCUUGAAUCAAGUGGAUCAAAGAUGGUUCUCCUUCUUUCAAGCCCAUCUUGAGUGUUGGGCUCUUGCUAGCUUUGUCCCAAGUGGAUUGCACCAAUCCGUGCAUUGCUUCCUUGAUCUUCUUGGCCUUUAAUCAUGUAAUUAGCUCAUCUGGAACUUGCAAAUGAUCUUUAAGAGUAGGCCCACCUUGGUUCCCAUCAGGAAAGGUUCCAUGUGAAAGGCACUUGCACAUGGGUUAGUCGAUCCUAAGAGACGGGGGAAGCUUGUCUGAUAGCAUGUUGGACAUAAGCUUCGAAAGGGAAUCGGGUUAAAAGGAGUCCAGAGACGUCAGCAGGGGCCCGAGGAAGAGUUAUCUUUUCUUUUUAAUAGCUUGCCCACCCUAGAAACGGCUCAGCCGGAGGUAGGGUCCAGUGGCUAGAAGAGCACUGCACUGCGCAUGGUGUCUGAUGCACUCCCGGCGGCCCAUGAAAAUCUGGAGGAUCGAGUGCCAUCCAUGCCAGGUCGUACUCAUAACUGCAUCAGGUCGAUGGAACAAUGUAGGUAAGGGAAGUUAACAAAAUGGAUCCAUAACCUCAGCAAAAAGAUUGACUCUAAGGGCUGGGCAAGGGGGUCCCAGUCCCGAAGCCGUCAGCUAUCAGUGGACUGCUUGAACUGCUCUCGCGGAGAGAGCGGGUUGUCACGUGCCUGUCGGGGGAUGAACUGGGAAUGAGUGCUUUAGUGGUCUUCCCCGGGCGUCGAAUAGUUGACUCAGAACUAGUACAAACAAGGGGAAUCCGACUGUUUAAUUUUUAACAAAGCAUUGCAAUGGUCUCUACGGAUGCUCACGCAAUGUGACUUCUGCCCUGUGCUCUGAAUGUCAAAGUGAAGAAAUUCAUCCAAGCGUGGGUAAACGGCGGGAGUAAUUAUGACUCUCUUAAGGUAGCCAAAUGCCUCGUCAUCUAAUUAGUGAUGCGCAUGAAUGGAUUAAUGAGAUUCCCACUAUCCCUAUCUACUAUCCAGCGAAACCACAACCAAGGCCAAAAGGUAGAAGUGAAAUACCACUACUUUUAACGUUAUUUUACUUAUUUCGUGAAUCGGAGGCAAGGCAUUGCCCCUCAAUUUGGACCCAAGGCUCAUUUCGGCGGGCUGAUCCAGGUAGAAGACAUUGUCAGGUGGGGAGUUUGAUUCUGUGGAACAAACUCCCCACCUGAGAUGAGCUCAAUGAGAACAUAAAUCUCGUGUGGAACAAAAGGGUAAAAGCUCAUUUGAUUCUAAUUUCUAGUACGAAUACGAACCGUGAAAGCAUGGCCUAUCGAUCCUUUGGACCUUCAGAAUUUGAAUCCAGAGGUGUCAGAAAAGUUAUCAUAGGGAUAACUUGCUUGUGGCAACCAAGCAUUCAUAACGAAGUUGCUUUUUGAUCCUUCGACGUCGGCUCUUCCUAUCAUUGUGAAGCAGAAUUCACCAAGUGUUGGAUUGUUCACCCACCAAUAGGGAACGUGAACUGGGUUCAGACCGUCGUGAGUUAGUUUAGUUUUUCCCUACGGAUGACAGUGUCGCCAUAGUAAUUCAACCUAGUACGAAAGGAACAGUUGAUUCACACAAUUGGUCAUCGAGCCUGGUUGAAAAGCCAGUGGCACGAAGCUACCAUGCGCUGGAUUAUGACUGAACGCCUCUAAGUCAAAAUCCAAGCUAAAAGCGACGCGUGCACCCGUCGCCCAAUUGUCGACCUGCAGUAGGGGCCUUAGGGCCCCAGAGGCACACGUUAUUGGUGAAGCCCUCGUGGCGGAUGAGCCGUGCAGGUCACCUUGAAGUACAAUUCUCACCAAGCGACAGGUAGAAUCCUUUGCA